RNAcentral lists this ribosomal RNA (253 nucleotides) under uncultured bacterium. RNAcentral's name for it is "partial 16S ribosomal RNA". It matches the Rfam family "Bacterial small subunit ribosomal RNA", at positions 524 to 776 of the family's 1533-position model. The record is from RNAcentral.
UACAGAGGGUGCGAGCGUUGUCCGGAAUCACUGGGCGUAAAGGGCGCGUAGGCGGCUUGAUAAGCGUGCGGUGAAAGCCCGGGGCUCAACCCCGGGUCGGCCGUGCGAACUGUCGAGCUGGAGCACUGUAGAGGCAGGUGGAAUUCCGGGUGUAGCGGUGGAAUGCGUAGAGAUGUGGAGGAAUACCGAUGGCGAAGGCAGCCCCCUGGGCCAAUACUGACGCUCAUACACGAAAGCGUGGGGAGCAAACAGG